Benincasa hispida (wax gourd) is the source of this 1159-nucleotide non-coding RNA. The record is from RefSeq and is a predicted model, not a curated record. Lineage: Eukaryota; Viridiplantae; Streptophyta; Magnoliopsida; Cucurbitales; Cucurbitaceae.
AUUUCUCAAAUAGAAGUAAUUCUGUUCAAAUAGAUUUUUUUUUAACAGGAGUCUCACUAGUGUCGAUAUUCACGGCUCCUGCAACAUUCGAUUCUUCUCCCAUGGAGGUCUGAAGAUAUAUCGGUGGACAUGUCUUUUGGCCGGUCAGGUAACCUUCAAGUCUAUAGCUCCUUAGAAUAGGCAGGGCAAGAUUUUUCCACAACAAAAAAUUGCUCUGGUCCAAUUUUAUGAAAGUAAUCUAAUUAAGGAGCUGGUUUAAAGGAGGGCUACUGAAAAUGUUACUACUAGGAUUCAGGGGGAGUUGCUAUUGAAUUUGUGUUGGCCAUAGUUGCUCUGAUACCAAGUUAAGAAGGACAAAAUAAGAAAAUUUGAGGAGACAAAGAGAUGCUCUGGAAUGGGAAAGGUGAUCCUUAGCCAAUCAGAAUCAUUUCCUAACCAAUUCUGUUAAGCAAUUUCUCUAUUCAUUCAACAGCUGAUUGUAUCACAUUUAAUACCACGGUGGCUUUGUUGUUGCUGACAUGGUCUUCAUCAUUCUUCUCCUUAACAAGGUUGUCAAAAAGGAAACCUGCACUGGAGUGCCAACAUUAUACAAUGGUUAUAAAGAUUUGAUGUCGUCUGUGAGUGUUUUUCAAGAACUGAGUAAGAAAACAAGAUUUGGAAGUCAAAAGAGUCAAAUCCAGCCAAACCUACAAAAAUUGGGGUGAAAAAAUGUAAAGAAACCCAAAUCAGUAUGGCGCCACGACGGUUCUAAGCAUUGCAUGUGGCACCAUUUAUAAGCAUCCCUUGAGAGAACUUUGACGCCAAGUUUCCAAAUUUGAAAAUUUCUGCAUUUUAGGAGAACUUUUUCUAUAAGAUAUGAGGAUGCCCAACCAACUAAGACACGAAAUUUUAGAGCCUAAAGUGAGUUUUGCUGCAGAAAGGAGUUAAGAGUGAAGGAAAUUCAUUGGAGGCUGCUUCUGAUCCUGAGUGCAAAUCAAUGCUUGAUCAACUGUGUGCAACAACGAGGAAUCACUUCGAUGACGUGCCAUUUUCUUUACCGUUUAUGUUUGUCAAAUUGUAUGAGAAUAUGUAUUUGACAACUAUGAAUAGCUAGACUCAUUUGUUAUAGGGUGUUGACGAAUUUAUUCAUGGAUUUUUUUAAUGCAUAGUACUUUAUGGA